UAUUCCUGAUACUUCCGACGACUAUGCUUCUUCACAGAAGCGUAUCUCGCGUUUGUUUCGCGAGAAGUCGCACAACGCGAUCGAUCGAGUUGCGCUCGAUCCAUAUCGUUUAUAUUAUCUAUGUCUAAAUACGAUUCCGAGUACGUAAUAACGUUAACACUGUGAGUCAUCGACGACGGUUCACGGGCACAUACGCGAUCGCAACCGCGCGUUUGUUUCUGACCCGAACGACUUGUUCCGCUCGAGUUGGACAAUUGCCAAAAUUAUGUAACUCCAUGAUAACGCGGCCACAAGUGCGGUGACUCUGAGGUAAUUAUUUAGAAACGCAAUGUCACUCCCUGCGUUAUCGAUAUAGCGAUGAAUGCAAGAUUGGACAAUGAAAAUUUGAAGAAGGAUAUUUGCGGUAAGGAUCAUGAAUCCUUGGUAUGAUAGAUAUGUACUUAAAGAUAUCCCUAAUACUAUAUAUCGUAUUUUAUAUAAUUUUGUUUUAGAUCUUUUUAACCGGCCACCAAAAAGCGACUGGCAAUCCUUGUUGGUGAGAUCGUCCCUAUUUUGAAUAAUUACCUUCAUUUUAUUUUGUAAUCUACUUUAUACAUUUCAAUUGGAGUAAUGUUUAAUUUUUAUUGUUCGAUAGGUAUGACAGAACGCGGAG
Molecule: long non-coding RNA, 652 nt
Organism: Bombus pascuorum
Lineage: Eukaryota; Metazoa; Arthropoda; Insecta; Hymenoptera; Apidae
Exons: 2
Source: RefSeq, a predicted model, not a curated record